This 345-nucleotide unclassified non-coding RNA is filed under the name soil metagenome. RNAcentral's name for it is "partial contains 5.8S ribosomal RNA, internal transcribed spacer 2, and large subunit ribosomal RNA". The stretch from base 1 to 120 matches the Rfam family "5.8S ribosomal RNA", at positions 35 to 154 of the family's 154-position model. The record is from RNAcentral.
GAUGAAGAAUGCAGCGAAAUGCGAUACGUCAUGUGAAUUGCAGAAUUCAGUGAAUCAUCGAGUCUUUGAACGCACAUUGCGCCCCCUGGUAUUCCGGGGGGCAUGCCUGUCCGAUCAUCAUUGCUGCCCUCAAGCACGGCUUGUGUGUUGGGCCUCCGUCCUCCUCCCGGGGGACGGGCCCGAAAGGCAGCGGCGGCACCGCGUCCGGUCCUCGAGCGUAUGGGGCUUCGUCACCCGCUCUUGUAGGCCCGGCCGGCGCUUGCCGACACAUCAAUCUUUUUUCCAGGUUGACCUCGGAUCAGGUAGGGAUACCCGCUGAACUUAAGCAUAUCAAUAAGCGGAGGA